GGGGGUUUGAUAUGGAAAUUUAUCUGGAAGUUUUAUAUAAGUUCAUGAUCUUCCGUAGCAUACCAUUUGUUGCUCAAAUUCAAGUUGGCUUGGACUAAUCUUGCAUUUCUAUGGGAUCAGAGAUUGACAUUUAUCAAGUGCCACUUGUGCUCAGAUGCAAAAGUGUUUUAGAGGGUUAAAAUGUGAGCUCUUUUAAGUCAUAAGCUCAACAUGUCAUAUUAACAAUUUCUACCAUGGGCAUGGGCUCAUUAUGUUGAAAUUGGAGUCUCCCUUAGCAUUAUCCCAUUGAUAUUUGAAUUUUGUGAAAACCAUGCCAUCAUUCAGCAUGAGAUCCACUUGUUUGUCUGUAUAUCAUUAUAAUUGUCACCGAUUAAUUAAUUGUCCUUGUAUUUUUGUUGUUUUUUCAAGAUAUCCAAAUCCUAAGAAUGUU
This 430-nucleotide unclassified non-coding RNA is filed under the name Hevea brasiliensis (rubber tree). Lineage: Eukaryota; Viridiplantae; Streptophyta; Magnoliopsida; Malpighiales; Euphorbiaceae. The record is from RNAcentral.